AAUAGAUACCCUGGUAGUCCACGCCGUAAACGAUGAGUGCUAAGUGUUAGAGGGUUUCCGCCCUUUAGUGCUGCAGCUAACGCAUUAAGCACUCCGCCUGGGGAGUACGGUCGCAAGACUGAAACUCAAAGGAAUUGACGGGGGGCCCGCACAAGCGGUGGAGCAUGUGGUUUAAUUCGAAGCAACGCGAAGAACCUUACCAGGUCUUGACAUCCCACUGACCGGUAUAGAGAUAUACCUUUCCCUUCGGGGACAGUGGUGACAGGUGGUGCAUGGUUGUCGUCAGCUCGUGUCGUGAAAUGUUGGGUUAAGUCCCGCAACGAGCGCAACCCUUGAUCUUAGUUGCCAGCAUUUUAGUUGGGCACUCUAAGGUGACUGCCGGUGACAAACCGGAGGAAGGUGGGGAUGACGUCAAAUCAUCAUGCCCCUUAUGACCUGGGCUACACACGUGCUACAAUGGAUGGUACAAAGGGCUGCAAGACUGCGAAGUCAAGCCAAUCCCAUAAAACCAUUCUCAGUUCGGAUUGCAGG
Molecule: ribosomal RNA, 531 nt
Filed under: uncultured bacterium
Lineage: Bacteria
Description: bacterial SSU rRNA
Rfam family: Bacterial small subunit ribosomal RNA
Source: RNAcentral